UGGGGAAUAUUGCACAAUGGAGGGAACUCUGAUGCAGCGACGCCGCGUGAACGAAGAAGGCUUUCGAGUCGUAAAGUUCUUUUAUAUGGGAAGAUAAUGACGGUACCAUAAGAAAAAGCCCCGGCUAACUACGUGCCAGCAGCCGCGGUAAUACGUAGGGGGCUAGCGUUGUCCGGAAUCACUGGGCGUAAAGGGUUCGCAGGCGGAAAUGCAAGUCAGGUGUAAAAGGCAGUAGCUUAACUACUGUAAGCAUUUGAAACUGCAUAUCUUGAGAAGAGUAGAGGGAAGUGGAAUUUUUAGUGUAGCGGUGAAAUGCGUAGAUAUUAAAAAGAAUACCGGUGGCGAAGGCGGCUUACUGGGCUCAUUCUGACGCUGAGGAACGAAAGCGUGGGUAGAAAACAGG
Molecule: ribosomal RNA, 403 nt
Filed under: bacterium
Lineage: Bacteria
Description: partial 16S ribosomal RNA
Rfam family: Bacterial small subunit ribosomal RNA
Source: RNAcentral